This 73-nucleotide transfer RNA is filed under the name Pritchardia elliptica. Its description in RNAcentral is "tRNA-Glu". The record is from RNAcentral. Lineage: Eukaryota; Viridiplantae; Streptophyta; Magnoliopsida; Arecales; Arecaceae.
CAUCAUACUAUGAUAAUCAUCAUCAUAGUAUKAUMAUACUAUGAACAGUUUUUUGGAAUUGUCAAUAGAAUCU